GUUCCCAAGGCAGGAGAACCCCAGAGGACGCGGAGGAAGCCCCCAGGACGCAGGUGGUGAAAGGAGAUCUGCAGGCUGUGUGAAGGACACUCACACCUUGACUUCCACAGUCCUCCUUCGCUUCUCAGCAGUUUUGGUGGCUCCAGACUCAGUGGCUCUCCUGCUCUCUCCAGCUCGCAGGUCUGUCCUUGGCUACAAAGGGCAAAGUGUGGCGCCUGGUGGUAGGGCCAGAGAGGAAUGAGCGUCGUCACCUCCCACAGGCACCGAGAGGUUUGGCUCCGUGGUUUUGUGCGGGAAGAAUUCCCCAGCCUUCUCUUUUGUUUUUCCCCCUUACUAGUAUUAUUUUCAGCUGUUUACCCCAUGAAGGAAAAAAAGUAUUUUCUUCAUUACUGCACCUGCUACCAAAGUGACUCAUUUACAGACUCAUUUUGGCAGAGGCUGCAGCAUCUGUUAUCAUUUUUACCUGGUCCCCAAGGGCAAAGCUUCUUACCUUGCUGGCUUCAAAAUAUUGUUGAUUGGAGAUCACAGAUUGGAAGGGGACUCAAGGGCUGUUGGCAACAGGAUGGGACCGUGGACAGUUCACGUGCCUGCCUCUGUCAUGAUAGGCACCCAGAAAUAGUUCCUGGAUGGCCAGUGACCAAGUAGGGGAAGUCAUCUCUUCACACGCUCCCAGCAC
This 676-nucleotide long non-coding RNA is filed under the name Rhinopithecus bieti (black snub-nosed monkey). RNAcentral's name for it is "lncRNA (ENSRBIG00000045429.1)". The record is from RNAcentral. Lineage: Eukaryota; Metazoa; Chordata; Mammalia; Primates; Cercopithecidae.